ACUCAACGUUAAUAUAAUUAAAAAGAGUGAGUCAUGGUUGUAAAAGCAUGCUGUCAAUACUGAACUUGUUUAGUAUUUGGACAGAUCCUUGAUCAAUCUGUUAGCUCUAAACUUGUUUUUUUGGAGUUU
RNAcentral lists this small RNA (129 nucleotides) under Kordia antarctica. RNAcentral's name for it is "6S-Flavo RNA". It matches the Rfam family "6S-Flavo RNA". The record is from Rfam by way of RNAcentral. Lineage: Bacteria; Pseudomonadati; Bacteroidota; Flavobacteriia; Flavobacteriales; Flavobacteriaceae.